This 72-nucleotide transfer RNA is filed under the name Camelus bactrianus (Bactrian camel). It matches the Rfam family "tRNA". Rfam says of the family: Transfer RNA (tRNA) molecules are approximately 80 nucleotides in length. Their secondary structure includes four short double-helical elements and three loops (D, anti-codon, and T loops). The record is from Rfam by way of RNAcentral. RNAcentral also lists the same sequence under 1 other name. Lineage: Eukaryota; Metazoa; Chordata; Mammalia; Artiodactyla; Camelidae.
GCGAGCACAGCUCAGUGGUAGAGCCCCUGCUUAGCAUGCACGAGGUCCUGGGUUCAAUCCCCAGUACCUCCA